RNAcentral lists this ribosomal RNA (1020 nucleotides) under Scopulariopsis sp. RNAcentral describes it as "SSU rRNA". It matches the Rfam family "Eukaryotic small subunit ribosomal RNA", at positions 76 to 1106 of the family's 1831-position model. The record is from RNAcentral. Lineage: Eukaryota; Fungi; Ascomycota; Sordariomycetes; Microascales; Microascaceae.
AUACCGCGAAACUGCGAAUGGCUCAUUAUAUAAGUUAUCGUUUAUUUGAUAGCACAUUACUACUUGGAUAACCGUGGUAAUUCUAGAGCUAAUACAUGCUAAAAAUCCCGACUUCGGAAGGGAUGUAUUUAUUAGAUUAAAAGCCAACGCCCUUCGGGGCUCUGUGGUGAUUCAUAAUAACUGGUCGAAUCGCAUGGCCUUGCGCCGGCGAUGGUUCAUUCAAAUUUCUUCCCUAUCAACUUUCGAUGCGAGGGUCUUGUCCUCGCAUGGUUGCAACGGGUAACGGAGGGUUAGGGCUCGACCCCGGAGAAGGAGCCUGAGAAACGGCUACUACAUCCAAGGAAGGCAGCAGGCGCGCAAAUUACCCAAUCCCGACACGGGGAGGUAGUGACAAUAAAUACUGAUACAGGGCUCUUUUGGGUCUUGUAAUCGGAAUGAGUACAAUUUAAAUCCCUUAACGAGGAACAAUUGGAGGGCAAGUCUGGUGCCAGCAGCCGCGGUAAUUCCAGCUCCAAUAGCGUAUAUUAAAGUUGUUGUGGUUAAAAAGCUCGUAGUCGAACCUUGGGCCUGGCUGGCCGGUCCCCCUCACCGGGUGCACUGAUCCAGCCGGGCCUUUCCCUCUGUGGAACCCCAUGGCCUUCACUGGCUGUGCGGGGGAAACAGGACUUUUACUGUGAAAAAAUUAGAGUGCUCCAGGCAGGCCUAUGCUCGAAUACAUUAGCAUGGAAUAAUAGAAUAGGACGUGUGGUUCUAUUUUGUUGGUUUCUAGGACCGCCGUAAUGAUUAAUAGGGACAGUCGGGGGCAUCAGUAUUCAGUUGUCAGAGGUGAAAUUCUUGGAUCUACUGAAGACUAACUACUGCGAAAGCAUUUGCCAAGGAUGUUUUCAUUGAUAAGGAACGAAAGUUAGGGGAUCGAAGACGAUCAGAUACCGUCGUAGUCUUAACUAUAAACUAUGCCGACUAGGGAUCGGACGAUGUUAUUAUUUGACGCGUUCGGCACCUUUCGAGAAAUCAAAGUGC